AGUUAACAGUUGUGGAAUCACUUGAAUAUGUAUUAAAUAUCUUUUUGGAAAAGAAAAGCGGACUAAAAUAACUCUUGAAGAAUGUGCUGAAGAAUGUAGCGGAUGAGUAUUUAAACGAGGAAACUGUGACGUCGUUAUCAAGAAUCUGAGCUUCAGUGACGCUGGGAAAUACUUUAUGAGAGUCUAUUACCUCAAUCAUCAGACAGAGCUGGAGCAACAAAUCAGGACGUACCAACUUCAUAUUCAGGAUAAAUUCAAAAAACAUGUGUUUAGUCUAGUUUUCCUUUAGUAACAGUGAGGUGUUGAAUGUAACCAGCAGAGACUCUGAAUGGAACAGGCUUAAUAUUCAGAUUAGUGUGUUUAUGGCCUUGACUGAUUGACAGUAUUAUAAUAAUGAUUAAUGACUUUGUUUCUCCUCAGAUGAUGUUUCUGUGAAAACAGGUGAGGAGCUGGAGUUGGAUGUUCUGUUGUCAAACGCUGAUGAAGUGCAGCAUCAGAGCAGAAGAAGCACAGAGUGGAAGAAGAUCUGGAGAAGAACUGAUGGAGUUCAGAGAGAAUGGAUCUCCAUCAGAGAUAGAAACCUGAUCAUUAGUAAUUUCACAGCCAGAGACACAGGAACAUACAGAGUUCUGGACCCUGAAGGAAACAUCUUGAUCACAGUGACACUCAAAGAGUCAAAGACAAAACUGGACAGCACAGAUAAAGACAAAACUGAUGAUAUGGAGCAAGUUCCUGUGAUCUAUUGGAUUAUGAGUGCUGGACUGUUUGUGUAUGCAUCUCUGCUGGUUUCUACUCUGGUUACGCUUCGUGGCUAAAUCAGUUUGCAAGCUAUUUCAUGCACUGCUAUAGUAUCGUGGAAAUAUGGUUUCUUUAUUUAUUGUUUUCUUAUGGCACUACAUUGAUGAGCAGGAAUAGCUUAAUGUAGCACUUUAUUUCAAAAAGUAUUUAUAAAAAAUAUUUCUAUUGUACAUUUUUUUUUAGUUGUUUUAUAUGAAGUCCAGGGUUUUGAAAUUGUUAAUACUGUAUAUGGUGCUGACUAAUAGCAAUGAGAAGUGUUGUUUAACAUGUUUAAAUAUGAUAUAUUUAAAAAGACACCAUGAAUUGUCUUCAUCAUUAUAAUCUACUAUUAAAGAGUCUCUGAAAAGAGUCUUUCUAGUGCUUAAUCAGGGAUUUGCAUUAUUCUUUGAAAAUCUUCUUUUACAGAGCAUGUACUGUGAAAAAACGAAACAAACUGAACCACUUUUGUUAAAAAAAAAAACACCUUUUUGUUGAUAUUUUUAUGUUAGUGCACUUUUGUAGGUGUAAGAUUUGCAGGUCCACAUAAGAAAUGUACUUGUCUAACUAUAUCUUUACACAUCAUAUAUUUACAUAAGAAUUAUUAUAAGCUACAUAAGAAAAUAUAAAUGCCAUCAGUUUUGGGCACAUAAAGGUUGAUUAAAUAAAAUGUUUUGAAUGUUAAAUGUGUUGUUGAGA
Long non-coding RNA from Cyprinus carpio (common carp), 1473 nucleotides. The record is from Ensembl. NCBI's taxonomy places the organism in Eukaryota, Metazoa, Chordata, Actinopteri, Cypriniformes, Cyprinidae.